CAAACAUUCAUUUACUAGUUUAAAGUGAAAUCGAGACCCCAUGAUUCAAAAUGAUAUAUAGUAAUUUUAAACAUAUGGGUGCUGUAUCACUCGUGUAAUAGAGCGUGCAAUUGCAACUCUUUGCUUUUGCCCAUCAAAAAGUUGAACACAUCGCUCACCAAUUUUAGUCGAAUAGUCCCCCGGAAGGGCAAUGAUGACACUAUGUGCAUUAGUGAGCUUUGUUGCUUCUAUAAUCUCUUUUUGUCGCUUCCUCUUAACCAUAAAAAUGUUUUCAGAUUAAUGUGGCCAAAAAAGUCGGCUCUUGUUGUACCAAUUCGAUGUGUUUCCUUAAAAAUUUGAGCUUCAGUUUCUUGAUGUCUUUGCCUGUGUAAGUUUUACAAUAUCAUUAACAUCAGAUAAUAAUUUGGAGACUUAAGUGUGUGUUUUGCAAAAUAGGAUUGAAUACUACUAGAUAAUGUUGUCAUAGAUAUGCUGGUCAGAGUAAACACAAAUGAAAAUUCUCACCGAUAUGCUCAAUGUUUCAAUCAACUUCUAC
This 535-nucleotide long non-coding RNA is filed under the name Olea europaea subsp. europaea. The record is from RNAcentral. Lineage: Eukaryota; Viridiplantae; Streptophyta; Magnoliopsida; Lamiales; Oleaceae.